GGUCAUGGUGGCUCAGUGGUAGAGCAUUUGGUUGGCAGGCAAAAUGUCCCAGGUUCAAUUUCCAGCACUACCUGUCCA
This 78-nucleotide transfer RNA is filed under the name Sphaerodactylus townsendi. RNAcentral's name for it is "tRNA-Ala". It matches the Rfam family "tRNA". Rfam says of the family: Transfer RNA (tRNA) molecules are approximately 80 nucleotides in length. Their secondary structure includes four short double-helical elements and three loops (D, anti-codon, and T loops). Further hydrogen bonds mediate the characteristic L-shaped molecular structure. tRNAs have two regions of fundamental functional importance: the anti-codon, which is responsible for specific mRNA codon recognition, and the 3' end, to which the tRNAs corresponding amino acid is attached (by aminoacyl-tRNA synthetases). tRNAs cope with the degeneracy of the genetic code in two manners: having more than one tRNA (with a specific anti-codon) for a particular amino acid; and 'wobble' base-pairing, i.e. permitting non-standard base-pairing at the 3rd anti-codon position. Lineage: Eukaryota; Metazoa; Chordata; Lepidosauria; Squamata; Sphaerodactylidae. The record is from RNAcentral.